Molecule: long non-coding RNA, 3734 nt
Organism: Polyodon spathula (Mississippi paddlefish)
Lineage: Eukaryota; Metazoa; Chordata; Actinopteri; Acipenseriformes; Polyodontidae
Exons: 6
Source: RefSeq, a predicted model, not a curated record
CAAGAACGGUUUUGUGUAGGAGUUUGUAUAUAGCCUUUAGCAAUAUACCAACCAAGUAAAAGUUCAGUACCUGAUCCAGAGUGAAGAUAGAAGAAGCCCAACACUGACAGAGGUCAGUGGGUCGAAAUGGAUAAAACCGAGAGGAUCUGGCUCAUUGCAAAAACACACGUCAUAAAAAUGAUGUCUGAGGAGUGAUCAGGGAAGUCAAUGCCAGGGUUCGAAGGAAUAAAUGCCACAGUGCUAGAAUCAGGAGCUAGGCAAUAGGCAACUUCAUAACAGGUGCAGCAAAGUAAAGAAAAACUAGUCCUGCAAGGAUAAGAAGAUAUUGAAAUGCUGAUCGUAAUGAAGGAGGAAACUAACAAGAGAAAUUCCUACAGCAGAGAGAAUGAAGUAGAAAAAACUGAAAGGGAAAAUAUUGGGAAACAAAAGAAAAAACAUGGAAGGAGUAAACAAAAACAGGAAGUACAUCAAUGGUCAGCUAUGUCAGUAGUAUGUGAUCAAAGUUAAACAACAACAACCAAUGACAGCAAUACUAUUUAUUACCAAACACAGAGAAUCUGGAGUAAUGCAGCACAGCACUUUACAAAGCUGUAAAACAAAAAGAAAUACCCAGGUCUUUACAACAAACUCCUUAAGCACAGCCUUGAUAAGAAGCUCAUGUAUUGAAAAAGAUGAAAAUAAAGGAAAAAUAGCUCUUCAUGUGUGUAUACACAAAUAACAGGAAAAACAAAACAGCAAAAACGCGCCUGUAUAAUCCAUACAAAGAAACUUAAAGAAAUUACAAUCAGAUUGAUCAGAACAGCGAUUGUAACUACCAGAGGCCUCAUUCCCACCCUGACACCUAAUGUCUGGAUCCCCUGGAGAAAGCGUGCCCAUUCUUUCUCCUCUGUUAGAAUGAACACCGUGACCAACUGUUACGCUCCUGGACUGUCUUGGACAUUCACACCCAUGGACACACCCUGGACCUGUUCAUCAACAGAGUCCCAACCAGCUCUUCGUAGUACCUCAAGGCACUGACAGACUGAAGACCACGACCUCUGAUGGUCAUUUCUUAACCCACACAGCCACAGACUGCGAGUGGCUAACCACAGACAGACAGACAGAAAAGAAGCAACCAGGUCCCUUCCAGAGUCUCUUCAUGGGCUAGGCCCUCUGGCUGCAGGGAUGUCAAUGGCAGUCUCCAUCGAGAGCAGAUCAGAGGCUGGCAUUCUUCCCGCUCAACAAUGUGCUGAUGGUGCUGCUGCUGAUGAGAAAGCAAGAACCCAUUUUGGGAGAUGAGGUCAUCUUUUAUAAAAAAAAACAAAAGGAAAAAAGCUACCGAUCUGUUAUCUAUAAAUGCCCUAAAGGAUGCUGUUUAUCUUUUUUAAUUGAAUCUUUUUUUUUUUUAUUUUACUCUAUCUUUGAUCUUGCAAACUACAUUUAAGGUAUCAUAAGUUAUGUCAACAUGGGUAGUAACAAACUAGACAAGCAACUGUACAAACAAGUGCCUGCAAUAGGGCCAUGAGUAAGUCUGUUCUCCGCUUGGUAGUGACACAUGAUUCAAAAGCUGAACUGUCACCCCGAGUGCAAGGCUAUAAUCCUCUUCAGACAGACAUACUGCCAUUACCUCAGGCAAGCAUAGCUGUCGUUGCAAAUGGAAAAGCAUUUACAGAUGUUGCCGAACAAUGCUGGAAUCAACUCCUAUUUCCAUUAUCCCGCAAAUCAACCUGCAAUGUUGGCAUCUGACAUAAUAUUUUUGCCUUGUGUUUUGUCUAGUAUUGGCUGUUUUUUGGCAUGGCAUAGGGUCCUGCAGUUUUUUGUCAGAUCAAACAAACUCAAGCAGAGAGUUAGAGAUUUCCCAUUCCAAAUCAAUCCCAGGCUCAGUAUUUCAGAUGUUGGACUCUGCCGGUCAGCACUGGGUUACCCCAUUCACAAAGACACAAAUGUUAAGAGGGUUGUUUUUUACUACACCUGUGGGGGGGCUUGUGUGUGUGUGGUGGGGGGGCAGGUAUUUCUAUCAAUGUGCAGACAAAAUUUGAGAAAAUGUCCCCACUAAUAUAUUAAUGGGACAUUAAGGGACGUCCCUUCUUUGUAAAACACAUUUUUAAGAACUAAAUAUGUUAUAUGUUAGAAAUAGUAAAUACAAAUAUAGUGAGAGUCAAUAAAAAGUCCCCACAAAUAUAGGAAUACAAACGUAUUGGACAGGUAAUAUCAGGUAACCCAAUUAAUGAGUUCAGUGUAAUUCAAUAAGGAUGAAGAACACGUGUCAUACAAUUUUAUUCACAGAUACCGACUUAUUGGGAAAGGUGUCUGAUGUUUGGGGUAAAAUAUAUGUAUAUUGUACAAAACCACACUGUAAAUAAAAUAAGUAUUAAAUAUGCAGAGUAUAAUUCCAACACACCCCCUCAGAUAGAAGGGGUCAAGGACUUCAUUACUACAGAGGAGAUGCUGCUAAUCACGAUUUGCUGACUAGGGAAGCAGCUCACAAUCAUGUCAGUAUGUUUUUUCACUUGUAUUCCAUUUUAAAGUCUGGCUCUAUAAUGGACAACUAUACAUCACACUGCCCAAGCUUUCCUCUAAUGCUGGGCAGCUGUUUUGGAUAUGCUGAACUGAAGAAGAAAAAAAAAAGUUAUUACAAUAGUUCCCUGAUUAAAAGCAAAGACAGAAAAAUGGAAUUAAUGUGACAUUUCAAUUUCAUAAGAGCUCCUGAAACAGCAUCAAUGAGCAAAGUCCCGCUCUCCUGGAGUCAAACAGUAACCUCAACGAGUAGUGCCACGUUGUGGAAUCAUAGUUGGCAUAGGAUUCUAGAAACUAAAGACAACUCUAGUUGACAUUGCAGCUAGUAUGGACUUGUAAAUUUAAAGGACAUCAAGCAGAACUUCUUGCUUUUUAAUAGAUAGUCUGAAUGGGGUUAAACUGUAGUUCAAAAACAGAACAAAAGCACUUCUGACUUCCAGAUGUUUACAGUUGUCUUUGCAUGCCCACUCCUCUUCCUGGGCCCCUGUCUGGUGGGACCAGCUACCAGAGAACUUCAGGACUGUUCCAUCUCUCACUGCCUUCCACCGCCUCCUUAAGACUGCACUUUAUAUUUGUGAGAUGUAUUGCUCAUUACAAUAUUUUUCAUGUUUGACAGACACAGUUACUGAGCUGAAAGUGACCUCAACAUUUUCAACACAUGGUUCAGAGACAGAAACAUUUUAUUUUAAAACGUGAUAGCUACAGGUUAAAGAAAUCUCUGACUUUCCUAGUCUUUUCACCUGGAGAGAGAAGUCUCCACUCCUUCCUCCUCAGUAACCUCAGUAAUCAGCUGCAUCCCCCAAUGACUGACAUGCUUUGCAGCGAGUAAGAUGCUUUGUCCUGGAGAACUGCUAUGUGAAAUAAAAGUAACACAAUUCAAGAAGGCAAGACAAGCACGCUGACAAAUUUAUGUUUGUGAUAACAUGCGUUUCCUUCAAAACUGCGAUAUAUCUGAGAUAUAUGUCUGUAUAGUGAAGUGCAUAACAAGUAAAAGCGAAUUGAUUAGCUACAGCCACUUUAACACUGAGCAGAGGGCAUUUGUCUCGUCGUCUCAUUCCGAAUUCCAAUCUCCAGUUGACACCCACGAUGGGCCCAUACUCCGAUCCAAGCCCUUUAUGUAAACAGGUAGCUUCCGUGCAGUGACUAUAAAUGUAGACACCAUGCUUGUUUUUAAAAAAUGGAAAAAGUCAUUGUGACGGGGAACUCCCCGUCUAUAUGAACAUGUUUGGAACUGGCAG